This is a non-coding RNA of Camelina sativa (false flax), 1422 nucleotides long. The record is from RefSeq and is a predicted model, not a curated record. NCBI's taxonomy places the organism in Eukaryota, Viridiplantae, Streptophyta, Magnoliopsida, Brassicales, Brassicaceae.
UGGUAGUCCUUCUCUGUUUCUUAGCAAAUUUCUUAGGUAUAGAUUUUUAUUUUUAAUGUAACAUAAGCUAAGAAUUUGAAGGAUCGUUUCUAAUUUUAGGAUUGAAAGAAACGUUUCUUGGUGGACAGGUGUCACCAAAUCAAUGGUUGAAUGGUAAAAAUGAGUUUAAUGGGUUUAAUUUUUUUUUUUGGCAUUCCUCUUUCUUCUUCGUGUUCUCUCUUCUCUCUCUCUCUCUCGACAAAUCGGCGAUUCCCAUUGAUUCUUUUCUUCGAUUCCAAAAGAUUUUUUUCUUCUCUUCCAAUUGAUUCCCACGUCUGAUUCUCCAUGGAUUCGGCGUCAAUUUCGUUCCGGUGAAGCAGAAGGCAUUUGAUUCCGGUGAAGAUCGAUCCGUCGAAACCCUAAUAUUUGGGGAAGAUUCAAGCAGUUCGAUUCUCAGGCUUCGUAUGUGGUAAUAAUCUUAGUCUCUCUUGCUUCUUUAUUUUUUUCCGGUUGGUUGCUGGGAACUUGAGCAAUCAUCUCAAUAUGUAAGAAAUUGAUUUCAUUGGUGGGUGUGUCAGUGUCAAUUUUUAGCAACAUUUGUUACUCUCAGUAGCUCACAAAUGUUAGAUCAAGAUUUAGGUUGUUAUGAUUCAUUAAUGAGGAAAUCUUGUCACGCAUAUGAUUCGUUUUGUAAGGUUUGAUCAACACAUGUAUCUCAAACAUUAUGAGUUGUUUUUGUUCUUGUUUGCUUGCUUGCCUGUGGCUGUGCAGAUUAAAGAACAAUUGAAUGCUGAGUCGGUUACUGUAACGGAUAUGUCUGGCGAUGGACGUCAUGUCUGCAUCAAUGUGGUAUCAUCGGCUUUUGAGGGACAGUCUGCGGUGAACAGGCAAAGGAUGGUCUACAAAGCCAUUUGGGAAGAGCUUCAGAACGUAGUUCAUGCUGUUGAUCAAAUGACUACAAAGACUCCUUCAGAAGUUUGAAACACUAAAAUGCCUUUUCAAUAUCUCUAUUACAACACUUGAAUUUUAUCAAUAUCGGUCUCUUCUUGAACGUCUCUCAGACAAAGUCCAUUGAUCAAGACACCUGUGUCUUGGGUAUUGGAACGUGGAAGAUCAUACCGUGACCCUCUAGUUCACUCGAAUUUAGGUGACUGAACCAGUGGAGGAAUGUUAGGGCUUUUCUAUGUACCGAAAUUUUGGUCUUGCCUCUGUAUACAUGUUCUCCAAUGAAACACACGAAGUCUGUCAAACCUCAAAAACCGUAUUUGCAUUAGUCGCUGAUUAAGUGUAGAAUAGACUGAAUAAUGUAAUGUUUUGCAAAGAUAUUUUGGUCAUAAAAAUAAAACAUCAAAACUGAUUUUUAACAGCCAUUGUUAGCUGAAUUGUCUUUGUAAAUUUAAAGUAUUCAGAAUUUAACUGUAUUUUAUUGUAAUGAUAUGAUAG